This 479-nucleotide ribosomal RNA is filed under the name uncultured bacterium. RNAcentral describes it as "bacterial SSU rRNA". It matches the Rfam family "Bacterial small subunit ribosomal RNA", at positions 330 to 801 of the family's 1533-position model. The record is from RNAcentral.
ACCGUACUCCUACGGGAGGCAGCAGUGGGGAAUUUUGGACAAUGGGGGCAACCCUGAUCCAGCAAUGCCGCGUGAGUGAAGAAGGCCUUCGGGUUGUAAAGCUCUUUUGUCAGGGAAGAAACGGUAGUAGCUAAUAUCUAUUACUAAUGACGGUACCUGAAGAAUAAGCACCGGCUAACUACGUGCCAGCAGCCGCGGUAAUACGUAGGGUGCAAGCGUUAAUCGGAAUUACCAGGCGUAAAGCGUGCGCAGGCGGUUGUGUAAGUCAGAUGUGAAAUCCCCGGGCUCAACCUGGGAAUUGCAUUUGAGACUGCACGGCUAGAGUGUGUCGGAGGGGGGUAGAAUCCCACGAGUAGCAGUGAAAUGCGUAGAUAUGUGGAGGAAUACCGAUGGCGGAGGCAGCCCCCUGGGAUAACACUGACGCUCAUGCACGAAAGCGUGGGGAGCAAACAGGAUUAGAUACCCUUGUAGUCCUUGAC